CGACUAAACCAUGCGAGUCGAAUGUAGCCAAGACUCGUAGCAGAUAGCUCAGUAACACGUGGCCAAACUACCCUCUGGAGCGCGACAACCUCGGGAAACUGAGGCUAAUACCGGAUAUAUCGCGAAUGCUGGAAGUUGCAGAGAGCUUAGAAAGCUCCGGCGCCUAAGGAUGGGUCUGCGGCCUAUCAGGGUAGUAGUGGGUGUAAUGUGCCCACCGUGCCAGUAAUCGGUACGGGUUGUGAGAGCAAGAGCCCGGAGAUGGAUUCUGAGACACGAAUCCAGGCCCUACGGGGUGCAGCAGGCGCGAAAACUUUACAAUGCCGGCAACGGCGAUAAGGGGACCUCGAGUGCCAGGAUACAAUCCUCUCGCUUUUCACGACCGAAAGCAUUGCAUAGCAUAGCAAGGGCCGGGCAAGACCGGUGCCAGCCGCCGCGGUAACACCGGCGGCUCGAGUGGUAGACCGCUAUUAUUGGGUCUAAAGCGUCCGUAGCUGGCCGCGCAAGUCCAUCGGGAAAUCCGCACGCUUAACGUUACGUCCGGGGUAGGAGUGAAAUCCUGUAAUCCUGGACG
RNAcentral lists this ribosomal RNA (571 nucleotides) under uncultured euryarchaeote. RNAcentral describes it as "bacterial SSU rRNA". It matches the Rfam family "Archaeal small subunit ribosomal RNA", at positions 41 to 654 of the family's 1478-position model. The record is from RNAcentral. Lineage: Archaea; Methanobacteriati; Methanobacteriota.